AUUGAACGCUGGCGGCAGGCCUAACACAUGCAAGUCGAGCGGAUGAAGGGAGCUUGCUCCUGGAUUCAGCGGCGGACGGGUGAGUAAUGCCUAGGAAUCUGCCUGGUAGUGGGGGAUAACGUCCGGCAACGGGCGCUAAUACCGCAUACGUCCUGAGGGAGAAAGUGGGGGAUCUUCGGACCUCACGCUAUCAGAUGAGCCUAGGUCGGAUUAGCUAGUUGGUGGGGUAAAGGCCUACCAAGGCGACGAUCCGUAACUGGUCUGAGAGGAUGAUCAGUCACACUGGAACUGAGACACGGUCCAGACUCCUACGGGAGGCGGCAGUGGGGAAUAUUGGACAAUGGGCGAAAGCCUGAUCCAGCCAUGCCGCGUGUGUGAAGAAGGUCUUCGGAUUGUAAAGCACUUUAAGUUGGGAGGAAGGGCAGUAAGUUAAUACCUUGCUGUUUUGACGUUACCAACAGAAUAAGCACCGGCUAACUUCGUG
RNAcentral lists this ribosomal RNA (484 nucleotides) under uncultured bacterium. Its description in RNAcentral is "partial 16S ribosomal RNA". It matches the Rfam family "Bacterial small subunit ribosomal RNA", at positions 30 to 507 of the family's 1533-position model. The record is from RNAcentral.